Molecule: ribosomal RNA, 301 nt
Filed under: uncultured bacterium
Lineage: Bacteria
Description: partial 16S ribosomal RNA
Rfam family: Bacterial small subunit ribosomal RNA
Source: RNAcentral
CAGUAGCCGCGGUAAUACGAAGGGUGCAAGCGUUACUCGGAAUUACUUGGCGUAAAGCGUCUGUAGGUGGCUUUUCAAGUCCGCCGUCAAAUCCCAGGGCUCAACCCUGGACAGGCGGUGGAAACUACCAAGCUAGAGUACGGUAGGGGCAGAGGGAAUUUCCGGUGGAGCGGUGAAAUGCGUUGAGAUCGAAAAGAACACCAACGACGAAAGCACUCUGCUGGGCCGACACUGACACUGAGGGACGAAAGCUAGGGGAGCAAAUGGGAUUAGAUACCCGGGUAGUCCCUGUCUCUUAUAC